GCAGACGUAGCUCAGUUGGUUAGAGCGUCGGAUUGUGGCUCCGAAGGUCGUUGGUUCAACUCCAACCGUCUGUACCA
Molecule: transfer RNA, 77 nt
Filed under: Stappia stellulata
Lineage: Bacteria; Pseudomonadati; Pseudomonadota; Alphaproteobacteria; Hyphomicrobiales; Stappiaceae
Also listed under: 8 other names
Description: tRNA-His
Rfam family: tRNA
About the family: Transfer RNA (tRNA) molecules are approximately 80 nucleotides in length. Their secondary structure includes four short double-helical elements and three loops (D, anti-codon, and T loops).
Source: RNAcentral